UUAUAUUCGGGAUUUGUGUAUUUUCUUUAAUUUUUGGUUUAAAAAGGUCACAUUUUAGUGAUUUUUUAAAUUCUAGGAUGACAAAAACGUGUGUGCCGCGAUAAAAAGGCGAUUCAAGCCGAUCUUUUCACAAGAUUUCUGAUGCACUGGUUAAAAAUACAGCAGCUAAUAAUUCAGUUAAUUUACCAAGUGAUUUACCCCUAAAAGCUUCUAUUAGCACUAGCACUAUUCAGGAAAGUUCUUUAGCUUCCAAAACAGUAUAUAGUACAAACAGUGAAGCUAAUAUAGACAAAUCUGAUCAUUCAUCAUCAACAAUAACUGCAUCUGAGAUUAAUAGUUCUACAGUAAGCGUGGGGUCUAGGUCAACAAUUAAUAUUUCUCAUCCAAGCCGUUUUAAUUCAACUGCUACACAUACCUGACUGGGCUAAG
Molecule: long non-coding RNA, 429 nt
Organism: Anthonomus grandis grandis
Lineage: Eukaryota; Metazoa; Arthropoda; Insecta; Coleoptera; Curculionidae
Exons: 3
Source: RefSeq, a predicted model, not a curated record